Molecule: ribosomal RNA, 881 nt
Filed under: uncultured bacterium
Lineage: Bacteria
Description: bacterial SSU rRNA
Rfam family: Bacterial small subunit ribosomal RNA
Source: RNAcentral
CGAAAGCCUGACGCAGCGACGCCGCGUGGGGGAUGACGGCCUUCGGGUUGUAAACCUCUUUUACCACCAACGCAGGCUCGGAGUUUUCUUCGGGUUGACGGUAGGUGGGGAAUAAGGACCGGCUAACUACGUGCCAGCAGCCGCGGUAAUACGUAGGGUCCGAGCGUUGUCCGGAAUUAUUGGGCGUAAAGAGCUCGUAGGCGGCGUGUCGCGUCUGCUGUGAAAGACCGGGGCUUAACUCCGGUUCUGCAGUGGAUACGGGCAUGCUAGAGGUAGGUAGGGGAGACUGGAAUUCCUGGUGUAGCGGUGAAAUGCGCAGAUAUCAGGAGGAACACCGGUGGCGAAGGCGGGUCUCUGGGCCUUACCUGACGCUGAGGAGCGAAAGCAUGGGGAGCGAACAGGAUUAGAUACCCUGGUAGUCCAUGCCGUAAACGUUGGGCGCUAGGUGUGGGGACUUUCCACGGUUUCCGCGCCGUAGCUAACGCAUUAAGCGCCCCGCCUGGGGAGUACGGCCGCAAGGCUAAAACUCAAAGGAAUUGACGGGGGCCCGCACAAGCGGCGGAGCAUGUUGCUUAAUUCGACGCAACGCGAAGAACCUUACCAAGGUUUGACAUCACCCGUGGACUCGCAGAGAUGUGAGGUCAUUUAGUUGGCGGGUGACAGGUGGUGCAUGGCUGUCGUCAGCUCGUGUCGUGAGAUGUUGGGUUAAGUCCCGCAACGAGCGCAACCCUUGUUCCAUGUUGCCAGCACGUAAUGGUGGGGACUCAUGGGAGACUGCCGGGGUCAACUCGGAGGAAGGUGGGGAUGACGUCAAGUCAUCAUGCCCCUUAUGUCUUGGGCUGCAAACAUGCUACAAUGGCCGGUACAAUGGGCGUGCGAUA